This is a long non-coding RNA of Canis lupus familiaris (dog), 614 nucleotides long. RefSeq lists it as uncharacterized. The record is from RefSeq and is a predicted model, not a curated record. Lineage: Eukaryota; Metazoa; Chordata; Mammalia; Carnivora; Canidae. The transcript has 4 exons.
CGGGGCCGGGGCCGGGGUCAGCGCCGCGAGCCUGGGGCCCCGAGAGGCGCUCUCGCGGCGGCGGAAGGAUGCAGGAGCGCUCAGCUAAGGAAGCACAACUAAAGGAAAUCACUGUGCAGAUGGACAAGCUGAUGAGCACGCUAUUUAUGCAUUCAACAGUCUGUGGGCUCUAUCAGGCUGCCUGCUCUUUGCUAUCACCACCAAAUAAGAUAACAGGAAUGUUGGCAUGUACGUGCAGGGAAUGUUCUUCCAAAGGGGAUCACAGGAACCUGGAAGGCAAAGGGAUGCAUGGAAACUGGCCUAGCCUGUUAGCUCUUUUGGAGGCUGUUGAGCCCCAGAGGGAAAGUGACCCCCAGCAGGCAGGAUCGGCUCCCCAUUCUUUCAUCCUCAUCGGGCACCAACUCCAGGCCAAGCACUGUGCCCAGCACUGAGGAUGUACAGAGGAGCUGGUCCCUCCCCUCAAAGAGUUUGCAGACCAGUGGGAGGGACAAGCUAUAUACUCAUUGUCCCAGAAAGGGUCUUGCCUCUGAAUUCGCCCCCAAAACAAAGCUGGGCAUACAGCCCCAUGAAUGCUUCUUUAAUUGACGUAAUAAAAACUACAUCGUUUCAUUUCA